RNAcentral lists this transfer RNA (87 nucleotides) under Streptomyces mashuensis. Its description in RNAcentral is "tRNA-Ser". The record is from RNAcentral. Lineage: Bacteria; Bacillati; Actinomycetota; Actinomycetes; Kitasatosporales; Streptomycetaceae.
GGCGGGCUGGGUGAGGCGGCGCUGGCGCCGGUGCUCGCUGUGGGGGCAGGUGCCCAGGCCCCGGCCGAUCGCCUCGGCCGCCCGGUC